CGAAGUAAGAAAGGGCGUACGGUGGAUGCCUAGGCUCUCACAGGCGAUGAAGGACGUGAUAAGCUGCGAUAAGCUUCGGGGAGGUGCAAAUGACCUUUGAUCCGGAGAUUUCCGAAUGGGACAACCCGGCAGGCUGAAGGCCUGUCAUCCGAUGCAUAUCGGAGGCAAACGCGGGGAACUGAAACAUCUUAGUACCCGCAGGAAGAGAAAAUAAAAAUGAUUCCCCUAGUAGUGGCGAGCGAACGGGGAAGAGCCCAAACCGCUGCGGUUCCGGCCGCGGCGGGGUUGUAGGACUGCGACAUCGAGAAGAAGAAGUGAGUGGAACGCGCUGGAAAGUGCGGCCAUAGCGGGUGAUAGCCCCUUACACGAAGCCUCUUUCAUCGUAGCAAUAUCCUGAGUAGCGCGGGACACGUGAAAUCCUGUGUGAAUCCGGCGGGCCCAUCCGCCAAGGCUAAAUACUCGUGAGAGACCGAUAGUGAACCAGUACCGUGAGGGAAAGGUGAAAAGCACCGCGCGUAGCGGAGUGAAAUAGUCCCUGAACCCGUACGCCUACAAGCGGUCGGAGCAACAUUAUGUUGUGACGGCGUGCCUUUUGCAUAAUGAACCUACGAGUUGCCGUCGCCGGCGAGGUUAAGCGCAAGGAUGCGCGCAGCCGAAGCGAAAGCGAGUCUUAAACGGGCGCAUAGUCCGCGGCGGCAGACGCGAAACCGAGUGAUCUACCCUUGUCCAGGCUGAAGUCCGGGUAACACCGGAUGGAGGGCCGAACCAAUAAGCGUUGAAAAGCUUCUGGAUGAGGUGAGGGUAGGAGUGAAAGGCCAAUCAAACUCGGAGAUAGCUCGUACUCCCCGAAAUGCAUUUAGGUGCAGCCCCCGUUGUUUCCUGCAUGAGGUAGAGCGACUGAUCGGAUGCGAGGGCUUCACCGCCUAUCAAGUCCGGACAAACUCCGAAUGCGUGCAGGUUAGAGACGGGGAGUGAGGGCAUGGGUGCUAAGGUCCGUGCCCGAGAGGAGAAGAAUCCAGACCGCCGGCUAAGGUCCCGAAUUACAGGUUAAGUUAGUCUAACGAAGUGUUGUCCCGAAGACAGCUAGGAUGUUGGCUUGGAAGCAGCCAUUCAUUCAAAGAGUGCGUAACAGCUCACUAGUCGAGGGACGUCGCAUGGAUAAUAAUCGGGUAUGAAAUCUGUAACCGAAGCCGCGGGAUGUCUUAAGACAUCGGUAGGGGAGCAUUCCACCGGCGUUGAAUGUCGAAGAUGACUUCGGCUGGAGCUUGUGGAAAAGCAAAUGUAGGUAUAAGUAACGAUAAAGAGGGUUAGAUGCCCUCUCGCCGAAAGACCAAGGAUUCCCGGGCAACGUUAAUCGCCCCGGGGUUAGUCGGGCCCUAAGGAUAAGCCGAACGGCGAGGCCGAUGGAAGAAACGGUUAAUAUUCCGUUACUGCCUUGCAUGGCGAUGUGGAGACGGAGAAGUGGAACUUCCGCGCACUGACGGAAACGUGCGUUGAAGAGUGUAGGCGCAGAUUGUGGUAGGUAAAUCCGCCGCGAGAGCCGAACUUGACAGUACGCAAAGCCUUCGGGCGGCGCGAUAGCGAAGGUAAUCAUGCUCCCGAGAAAAUCCGCUAAGCUUAACAUGCAAGGCACCCGUACCGUAAACGGACACACGUGGUCGGGUAGAAAAUACUAAGGCGCUUGGAAGAUUCACGGUUAAGGAACUAGGCAAAUUGACCCCGUACCUUCGGAAUAAGGGGUCCUCACAGCGAUGUGAGGCGCAGAGAAUAGGUCCAGGCAACUGUUUAACAAAAACACAGGGCUGUGCAAAAUUGAAAGAUGAAGUAUACAGCCUGACACCUGCCCGGUGCUGGAAGGUUAAGAGGAGAUGUCACCGCAAGGGAAGCAUCGAAUUGAAGCCCCAGUAAACGGCGGCCGUAACUAUAACGGUCCUAAGGUAGCGAAAUUCCUUGUCGGGU
RNAcentral lists this ribosomal RNA (1959 nucleotides) under human gut metagenome. RNAcentral's name for it is "bacterial LSU rRNA". It matches the Rfam family "Bacterial large subunit ribosomal RNA", at positions 1 to 1977 of the family's 2925-position model. The record is from RNAcentral.